Long non-coding RNA from Homalodisca vitripennis (glassy-winged sharpshooter), 4340 nucleotides. RefSeq lists it as uncharacterized. The transcript is spliced from 2 exons. The record is from RefSeq and is a predicted model, not a curated record. Lineage: Eukaryota; Metazoa; Arthropoda; Insecta; Hemiptera; Cicadellidae.
GAUUUCAAUAUGACGCAUUGAGCAGUAAUGCCAAUUUUUACGGGAAAAAUUCUUUGUCCCUCCUGUAGCUUUUUCAAAAGUUUUGUACUUUUACAGUUCUAGAAAAUCUACGAGAACAACCCACCAACCAACAACAACCCACGAUCCUAGAACACGUCAUUGCAUUUUAAAAGAGCUGGAGGCUUGUGCGGCUCGGGACGGCGACGACUCAGCUCUGGGUCUAGUAGAGAGAUACAGUUUACAUGGCUAGCUAUAAUAUAAGAAGUGUUAAUCAUAAAAUGCCUGAGUUAACAGUCUUCAUGCAAAUCUUCCACAGCGUCCGGAUGUGUUAUGUCUCCAGGAACAUGGACUAAUAGUAACAGUGCUGCUAUUUUGAAUACUUUGGCAUGUUACAAACCAGUAACUGUGUACUCACGCAUUAAACAGCGUGUGGGUGGCACUGCAAUUUUGAUAAGAAACGAACUUCAAUAUAAAAAUGUUCCUUUCCCGAAUCAUAUAAGCUGUUCAGAAGGCAGUUUCGAGUUCUCUACAAUUGAAAUGAGUAAACAUGGUGCAUCAUACUAUAUCAUAUCUCUACAGAAAUCCAAAUAGCUCCAUAGACGAAUUUUCUCCAUAGACGAAUUUUUUUUAAACUUGAAGAAAUGCUUACAUUCUUUCAGCCAAAAAUAAAAAAUAAACACUAUUUUAGCUGUGGAUUUCAAUAUAGACAUUUUAUCGGGCAAUAAGGAUUUUAUCGAGUUUAAGAAUUUAAUUACAUCUUUUGGGCUAAGUAGGAGUUUUAGUGAUGCCACUAGAGUAACAAAACAAUCUUCAACUGGAAUUGACAACAUAGUAACAAAUUUUACUCCAGUUGAGACAUAUACACUUGAACCCAGUCUAUCAGAUAACAAAAUGUUAAUUCUUUCAUGUACCAUUCCAAGAUUUCAGCAAACUCUUUGUAAGAAAACUCAAUUUAAGAGAAAUUGUAAAUCUCUAUACAUUUUUAAGUUUUAAGUUUUUACAAAUCCAAUAGUGAACAGUUCCAUAAAAAUCAAGUAUUUCACGAUUACAAUACAAGGAAUCAGAUACUACACCAUCCUGUUCAUCGGUUAAAACUCUAUGAGCAGGGCAUGUAUUAUUCUGCAUUAAAACUUUACAAUAAAUUGCCAGAAUCUUUAAAAAAUGAAUAUUCAAUUCAAACAUUUAAGAAUUCCUUAAAAUGCUACCUCAUAAACCAGGCAUAUUACUCUGUUGAAGAGUACCUAAAUACUUAAUUUACAUAUUUAUAUUUCUUAUUUGCCUUAAAUAAGUUUUUUGAGCAAAAGUGUAAUUUGUACUUUUAAUUUUUUGUAUUGACUUUGACAAUUCACGUGUUUAUUUUAGCUCUGCUAAAGAAUGUAAACAUGAUGUGAAACUUUUAUUGAAUAAAUUAAUAAAAGGUAUUUUAAAGAAAAAAAGAAAAAUCUACCCAAACAAAUAAACCAACACUCAUCUUCUUACAUUUGUCAUAUAUAUGACAAACAUGUUAUUCAUAUUUCAAAUCUGUAACCAAGACUAAACCAAGGAAUUCUAAUUCAUAUGAGCAAUGUUGAACUGUUUUCUAAAUAUUUAAUUCCUACAUUUUGACAGUUUUAUAUUCAAAAUAUUGUCUACCAGUCAAUUAAAAUUUACUACUUUUAAGGAAUAUCAUAAUUUUGAGCUAUUUCGUACUGCAUUCCACUAGAGAGUGAAAUCUCAUCAGCAUGCGGAUUUCAUUGCUAGACAGAUUUGUUCAAAUAUUUGAUUUUAAUCACAAAUAUCAAGAAAUUUAUUACACAGUGUAAUGUUUUAAGUCAUGUUUACUGGGUAAAACGUAACUACAAUAUUGAUAGAUACCAUAAUAUUUAUGAAACUCUAAAUGUAAAUCUGUGCGUUAAAUAUCCACAAAGAAACUUUGGUUAUUAAUUAAGAUGUGUAAAACCUGAUAAAUUAUAAUUAUAUCUAAAUAAACUGAUUUUGGCUUACAAGGUAUAUUGGAAAAAAGUGAUUCAUUUGCUUAAAGUUCCUUAUAAUAUAUAAAACAAUUAAAAGUCACACAAACCAGAUCCACAUAACAUUAUCUUAAAACAUAUAAUUUUAAUUUAGUGUAAAAUAUGAUUGAAACUAUGAUGAGCCAAAGUCCCAACCUAUGCUACAGGGUGGUAGGGCAAAUGGUAAAUACAACUGCUAGUAAGUAAAUUUAAAUGUUUCUACUAUAUUUUGGCAAAAUUUAUCCAUAGCAAGAAUUUUAUUUACAGUAUUUUACUAUUUUACUUUUUCAAUUUUUAACAUAUAAUAAAAAUAUUGAAAGUUAAAAAUGUAUUCACUCAGCUUUUUUGGAUACAAUUUUCCACUAAAUCAAUAUAUGAAUUUAUGAAAAUAGUAAAUGUAAAAAAUUUGUCUUCACGAUUUCUCAAGUUCUGAAGUAAGGCCUAUUUCUCACAUGUCAAUUAAAAUUCAAGCCAGAUAUCACUUUUCAAUUUACUCAUUUGUUAUUCUUUCUUGGAAAUAGAUUUUAACCUUAAAUGGUAUACAAAUAAUUAUUAAAAUAAAUUCAAAUAAAUAUUUUUAGUACUCUUCUGUAGGCCAGUAAGUUAUACUGUUCAUACUUAUAUCUACAAGGUUUUUAAAUAAAUGGACCCUUUUAAGAAUUACUUAUUCUAAGGAUGUAAGUAUGUAUUUCACAUUCAUUUACAGGUUUUUAUACAACUUAUAUUAUUUACACUAAAAUAAACAAUUUAAAUCCAUAAUAUAUUUAUAGUAAAAUAUGUAGUAACAACAAUACAAAACUCUAAAUGUAUGGUAUUUUCUAUACCUAAAUACACAGCCAGUAUAUAUCAAGAUAGAAUUUAUAAUUUUAGGUUCAGGAACCUUUUGCUUUUGAAAAGUACUCAGAGCUUAACUCUAAUUCAAUAAAGAGGGGACACAUCGACAUUUAUAGUAUGAUGCCCUAACACAAGCCUUCUACCUAAUCACACAAUAGAAUUAUUGAUUGCAAUUUUUUUAGUUUUUAAUAACUUGAAACAAUCAUAAACAAAUAAUUUUAAAUAUUGUACAAAAUUUGACAGUUAAAACUCUAAUUAAAUAGUAUUGAUUAGUCUAAGACCAAAAAUUGUAAGUGGAAGCAGAAUUUUUAAUUUUAUGACAUUUAAAUAAAAAGUAAGACUGACAUUUCUGUAUACCUUUUUUAUUAACCUAUAACAUACAGAGUGUAUAAGAGAAGGUAGUGAGUGUAAUGUAAUACAGUAGUAUUAUAGGUUAGUAAUACUAUAAUUAAUACAUGAGAAACAGCUAUGUUGCAGAAAGGAAAUAUCAACAUUAUGUCGAUUACAGUAUUUAUACAUUCAAAACUUUUGAGGAGAUACAGUAUUGGUUUUAAAAAACUUUUCCUUAUAGGAGUAAUUUUAAUCAGGACUGUACUGGUUUGGUUUGUUAUCUACGCUAUUUGAAAGGAAAAAUAAUAAAGACCACUAUUUAAUGUUUUCCAGCUUAGAAAACUAUUACAACCCUCCCAGAGUGAGCCAGAGUGUUGUACUGGUGGUGUAAGACACAUUGGAGAUCUAUUUUUAUAUACAGUAGCUAAAUUUCAGAAUGCACUGAAAACAUCACAGAACAAUAUUUUGUGGCAUAUUCCAGAAAUCAACAACACAGUUUGCCAAUGCUAUAUCUAGAUGAAACACUGAUGUAAAGCAAAGCACUAAAGCACUGCAAUGAGGUACACAUCUAGAUAUUAGUUGGAACCAAUAGGAAUCUACAGCUGAGAUCAAGCUCACAAUGUUGUGUUAGAUCAAUAGACAACGGUAAUAUGUAUAUUUCACUUUAGAUAUUUGUUUGUAUUAAAUUUCAAAAUUAAUGAAUUCAUUAAGAUCCUUAAAACUCAUUAAGCUGAAAAACUUUCAUGAGAACCUUCAAGUCACUAAUCAGAUAAUUCAUUGUGGGAAUCCUGUAAGCAGCGAAUUAGGAUAAAGACUAAUACAACAGAUGUAAAUACAUUUUUAGACAUACUUAUUAAAAAAAAUAAUUUUGUCAAAAGUUAUUGCAACUAUUUUACAUAAAAAAGAUUAUUUUCAAAAGCUAGAAGGUAAUUUUUUUACCAAUGUUAUAGAAUUCUUGUAAUCUACACAUUGAUUGUUCUCUCAAAAUAUUAUCCAUUGUCGUAGGUUUCCCAUACUGUUUUAAUUGUAUUUAUAACAUUUUCUAUUUCCUGUGAUAUAUCUCGUAUUUUCUGUUAUGUAUUCUUGUUUUUCUUUUUAAUCUAGUAAGAAUAUGAAUUAAAUCCUGGCACUAUUCUUGUAUAUAUGUGUAUAUGCUAAGUGAAUAAAGCUGUUUUGAAUUGAAAUGAA